GACGAACGCUGGCGGCGUGCUUAACACAUGCAAGUCGAACGAAGAGCGAUGGAAGCUUGCUUCUAUCAAUCUUAGUGGCGAACGGGUGAGUAACGCGUAAUCAACCUGCCCUUCAGAGGGGGACAACAGUUGGAAACGACUGCUAAUACCGCAUACGAUCUAAUCUCGGCAUCGAGGAGAGAUGAAAGGUGGCCUCUACAUGUAAGCUAUCACUGAAGGCGGGGAUUGCGUCUGAUUAGCUAGUUGGGGGGGUAACGGCCCAACAAGGCGAUGAUCAGUAGGCGGUCUGAGAGGAUGGACGGCCACAAUGGGACUGAGACACGGCCCAGACUCCUACGGGAGGGAGCAGGGGGGAAUCUUCCGCAAUGGACGAAAGUCUGACGGAGCAACGCCGCGUGAGUGAUGACGGCCCUCGGGUUGGAAAGCUCUGUUAAUCGGGACGAAAGGCCUUCUUGCGAAUAGUGAGAAGGAUUGACGGUACCGGAAUAGAAAGCCACGGCUAACUACGUG
RNAcentral lists this ribosomal RNA (510 nucleotides) under uncultured bacterium. RNAcentral describes it as "partial 16S ribosomal RNA". It matches the Rfam family "Bacterial small subunit ribosomal RNA", at positions 28 to 507 of the family's 1533-position model. The record is from RNAcentral.